RNAcentral lists this ribosomal RNA (438 nucleotides) under uncultured bacterium. RNAcentral describes it as "partial 16S ribosomal RNA". It matches the Rfam family "Bacterial small subunit ribosomal RNA", at positions 28 to 507 of the family's 1533-position model. The record is from RNAcentral.
AACGAACGCUGGCGGCAUGCCUAACACAUGCAAGUCGAACGAUCCCUUCGGGGUUAGUGGCGCACGGGUGCGUAACGCGUGGGAACCUGCCCUUAGGUUCGGAAUAACUCAGAGAAAUUUGAGCUAAUACCGGAUAAUGUCUUCGGACCAAAGAUUUAGCGCCUUGGGAUGGGCUCGCGUUGGAUUAGCUUGUUGGGGGGGUAGAGGCAUACCAAGGCUACGAUGGGUAGCUGGUCUGGGAGGAUGAUAAGCCACACUGGGCCUGGGAUACGGCCCAGACUCCUACGGGAGGGAGGGGUGGGGAAGGGUACACAAGGGGCGGGAGCCUAAUCCAGCAACGCCACGUGCGGGAUGAGGGCCUUGGGGUAGGAUAGCGCUUUCGUCUUUGACGGAGCGUGAGUGACGGUAACGGGUGAAGAAGCACCGGCUAACUACGUG